This 66-nucleotide transfer RNA is filed under the name Euschistus heros (neotropical brown stinkbug). RNAcentral's name for it is "tRNA-Glu". It matches the Rfam family "tRNA". From Rfam's summary of the family: Transfer RNA (tRNA) molecules are approximately 80 nucleotides in length. Their secondary structure includes four short double-helical elements and three loops (D, anti-codon, and T loops). Further hydrogen bonds mediate the characteristic L-shaped molecular structure. tRNAs have two regions of fundamental functional importance: the anti-codon, which is responsible for specific mRNA codon recognition, and the 3' end, to which the tRNAs corresponding amino acid is attached (by aminoacyl-tRNA synthetases). tRNAs cope with the degeneracy of the genetic code in two manners: having more than one tRNA (with a specific anti-codon) for a particular amino acid; and 'wobble' base-pairing, i.e. permitting non-standard base-pairing at the 3rd anti-codon position. Lineage: Eukaryota; Metazoa; Arthropoda; Insecta; Hemiptera; Pentatomidae. The record is from RNAcentral.
AUUUAUAUAGUUUAAUAUAAAACCCCUCAUUUUCAAUGAGGAAAUAAGAAUUAAUCUUUAUAAAUA